UAUGAUAUCAGCAUGGUGAAGCCUGGAGAUCGAGUCAAGAAGCAGCAAAUGGCCGCCCCUCGCGGUUGACUCAGGGCUUGGUUGUCCGUCGUUGUGCUCAGCACUGUAUAUAUCUCCUAGCCUCAGGGUCCACCUUUGACAGAACCUCUCGUGAACUUCUCGUUUCAUAUCUAAGUUGUACUACUCAGGGCUUGGUUGUCCGUUGUUGUGCUCAGCACUGUAUAUAUCUCCUAGCCUCAGGGUCCACCUUUGACAGAAUCUCUUGUGAACUUCUGAUUUCAUAUCUAAGUUGUACUACACAGCUUGUUUCGAAGUGUACCAGCACUUGUUGUGUUAUUUAGGACUCCGUCUCUGGCUUGAAAUGGGCUCUUUGUGGUGGCAUAUACCCCUUCCUUAACUUAAUAUGGAGUAUACAUUUUUUGGUGC
RNAcentral lists this small RNA (426 nucleotides) under Hordeum vulgare subsp. vulgare (domesticated barley). The record is from RNAcentral. Lineage: Eukaryota; Viridiplantae; Streptophyta; Magnoliopsida; Poales; Poaceae.